Molecule: ribosomal RNA, 253 nt
Filed under: uncultured bacterium
Lineage: Bacteria
Description: partial 16S ribosomal RNA
Rfam family: Bacterial small subunit ribosomal RNA
Source: RNAcentral
UACGGAGGGUGCAAGCGUUGUUCGGAAUUACUGGGCGUAAAGAGCGUGUAGGCGGUCGAUUAAGUCAGGUGUGAAAGCCCUUGGCUCAACCAAGGAAGUGCAUCUGAAACUGAUCUACUUGAGCACCGGAGAGGAGAGUGGAAUUCCUGGAGUAGAGGUGAAAUUCGUAGAUAUCAGGAGGAACACCGGUGGCGAAGGAGCCUCUCAGGACCGAUACUGACGCUGAGACGCGAAAGCGUGGGGAGCACCCAGG